RNAcentral lists this ribosomal RNA (326 nucleotides) under uncultured eukaryote. RNAcentral describes it as "partial 18S ribosomal RNA". It matches the Rfam family "Eukaryotic small subunit ribosomal RNA", at positions 1470 to 1796 of the family's 1831-position model. The record is from RNAcentral.
CCCUUAGAUGUUCUGGGCCGCACGCGCGCUACACUGAUGCAUUCAACAAGCCUAGCCUUGACCGAGAGGUCCGGGUAAUCUUUGAAACUGCAUCGUGAUGGGGCUAGAUUAUUGCAAUUAUCAAUCUUCAACGAGGAAUGCCUAGUAAGCGUGAUUCAUCAAAUCGCGUUGAUUACGUCCCUGCCCUUUGUACACACCGCCCGUCGCUCCUACCGAUUGAAUGUGUUGGUGAGGAGCUCGGAUUGGCAGCAGUUGGUGGUUCGCCACCGGCUAUUGCUGAGAAGUCCUCCAAACCGCCCCAUUUAGAGGAAGGAGAAGUCGUAACA